UCUAAACUCAGUAAGGACGACAUUGAUGUGAGGCUCAAGUGGCUUGGCCUCUUCCACAGGAGGAAGCAUCACUGUAAGAUGCAAUCUAAACCUCUUUUUACUGAUUUAUUAUAUGCUUUGAUUGACUUAUCAUAUUUUUAUGCAUCUUUUAGGAAUCCAAAUAAUGGGAUCUACAGUAUAUAGUAAUGUUCAAUAGAUAAAUAAAAAUGAUUUGCUCAUUUGGUAGGAUGAAAUCUAUUGAAAAGAUGGCUUAGUUUGUUUGAUUAUAAAUAAACCAAGCAGAGCAGGCCUAAUCAUUAGCUAUAGUGGGGGUUUCUAAAUGAAGGGCUAUGAUAAAACCAAGUUCUUAUUGGAGUGAUUUCUUAUUUUUGGUGGCACUUUUCAUAUACUAGAAAGAGGAUAUGUGUUACUUAUAAUUAUCUUUCUCCUUAUUUGUCUAAUCUCAUUGUGAAUUCUGUAUGAACGGUGGUGACCAGAUGGUC
Molecule: long non-coding RNA, 482 nt
Filed under: Olea europaea (common olive)
Lineage: Eukaryota; Viridiplantae; Streptophyta; Magnoliopsida; Lamiales; Oleaceae
Description: long non-coding RNA (OEUR_LNC006207)
Source: RNAcentral